This 539-nucleotide ribosomal RNA is filed under the name Bacillus sp. X3(2016). Its description in RNAcentral is "bacterial SSU rRNA". It matches the Rfam family "Bacterial small subunit ribosomal RNA", at positions 969 to 1510 of the family's 1533-position model. Lineage: Bacteria; Bacillati; Bacillota; Bacilli; Caryophanales; Bacillaceae. The record is from RNAcentral.
CCUUACCAGGUCUUGACAUCCUCUGACAACCCUAGAGAUAGGGCUUUUCCUUCGGGGACAGAGUGACAGGUGGUGCAUGGUUGUCGUCAGCUCGUGUCGUGAGAUGUUGGGUUAAGUCCCGCAACGAGCGCAACCCUUGAUCUUAGUUGCCAUCAUUAAGUUGGGCACUCUAAGGUGACUGCCGGUGACAAACCGGAGGAAGGUGGGGAUGACGUCAAAUCAUCAUGCCCCUUAUGACCUGGGCUACACACGUGCUACAAUGGACAGAACAAAGAGCUGCAAGACCGCAAGGUGGAGCCAAUCUCAUAAAUCUGUUCUCAGUUCGGAUUGCAGUCUGCAACUCGCCUGCAUGAAGCUGGAAUCGCUAGUAAUCGCGGAUCAGCAUGCCGCGGUGAAUACGUUCCCGGGCCUUGUACACACCGCCCGUCACACCACGAGAGUUUGCAACACCCGAAGUCGGUGGGGUAACCUUUAUGGAGCCAGCCGCCGAAGGUGGGGCAGAUGAUGGGGUGAAGUCGAGCAGAGUCACGGUACUGACC